RNAcentral lists this ribosomal RNA (169 nucleotides) under Erato polymnioides. RNAcentral's name for it is "5.8S ribosomal RNA". It matches the Rfam family "5.8S ribosomal RNA". From Rfam's summary of the family: 5.8S ribosomal RNA (5.8S rRNA) is a component of the large subunit of the eukaryotic ribosome. It is transcribed by RNA polymerase I as part of the 45S precursor that also contains 18S and 28S rRNA. Lineage: Eukaryota; Viridiplantae; Streptophyta; Magnoliopsida; Asterales; Asteraceae. The record is from RNAcentral.
ACUCUCGGCAACGGAUAUCUCGGCUCACGCAUCGAUGAAGAACGUUAGCAAAAUGCGAUACUUGGUGUGAAUUGCAGAAUCCCGUGAACCAUCGAGUUUUUGAACGCAAGUUGCGCCCAAAGCCAUUUGGUUGAGGGCACGUCUGCCUGGGCGUCACGCAUCGUGUCGC